This 354-nucleotide ribosomal RNA is filed under the name uncultured bacterium. RNAcentral describes it as "bacterial SSU rRNA". It matches the Rfam family "Bacterial small subunit ribosomal RNA", at positions 330 to 699 of the family's 1533-position model. The record is from RNAcentral.
CCCAGACUCCUACGGGAGGCAGCAGUGGGGAAUAUUGGGCAAUGGACGCAAGUCUGACCCAGCAACGCCGCGUGAAGGAAGAAGGCUUUCGGGUUGUAAACUUCUUUUAAGGGGGAAGAGCAGAAGACGGUGCCCCUUGAAUAAGCCACGGCUAACUACGUGCCAGCAGCCGCGGUAAUACGUAGGGGGCAAGCGUUGACCGGAUUUACUGGGUGUAAAGGGCGUGCAGCGGGAGAUAUAAGUCAGAUGUGAAAUCCACGGGCUCAAACCGUGAACUGCCUUUGAAACUGUUGCCCUUGAGUGUCGGAGAGGUAAUCGGAAUUCCUGGUGUAGCGGUGAAAUGCGUAGAUAUAA